GUCCUACGGGACGCAGCAGUGGGGAAUAUUGGGCAAUGGGCGCAAGCCUGACCCAGCAACGCCGCGCGAAGGAAGAAGGCUUUCGGGUUGUAAACUUCUUUUGUCAGGGACGAAGCAAGUGACGGUACCUGACGAAUAAGCCACGGCUAACUACGUGCCAGCAGCCGCGGUAAUACGUAUGGUGCAAGCGUUAUCCGGAUUUACUGGGUGUAAAGGGAGCGCAGGCGGCACGGCAAGCCUGAUGUGAAAGCCCGCGGCCCAACCGCGGGACUGCAUUGGGAACUACCGGGCUGGAGUGCCGGAGA
RNAcentral lists this ribosomal RNA (305 nucleotides) under uncultured bacterium. Its description in RNAcentral is "bacterial SSU rRNA". It matches the Rfam family "Bacterial small subunit ribosomal RNA", at positions 335 to 655 of the family's 1533-position model. The record is from RNAcentral.